CCUACGGGGUGCAGCAGUGGGGAAUAUUGCACAAUGGGGGAAACCCUGAUUCAGCCAUGCCGCGUGUGUGAAGAAGGCCUUCGGGUUGUAAAGCACUUUCAGUAGGGAGGAAGGUAGUGUAGUUAACACCUACAUUAUUUGACGUUACCUACAGAAGAAGCACCGGCUAACUCCGUGCCAGCAGCCGCGGUAAUACGGAGGGUGCGAGCGUUAAUCGGAAUUACUGGGCGUAAAGCGCAUGCAGGCGGCCUGUUAAGUCAGAUGUGAAAGCCCGGGGCUUAACCUCGGAAUUGCAUUUGAAACUGGCAGGCUAGAGUCUUGUAGAGGGGGGUAGAAUUUCAGGUGUAGCGGUGAAAUGCGUAGAGAUCUGAAGGAAUACCAGUGGCGAAGGCGGCCCCCUGGACAAAGACUGACGCUCAGAUGCGAAAGCGUGGGGAGCAAACAGGAUUAGAUACCCGUGUAGUC
This 465-nucleotide ribosomal RNA is filed under the name uncultured bacterium. RNAcentral describes it as "bacterial SSU rRNA". It matches the Rfam family "Bacterial small subunit ribosomal RNA", at positions 338 to 795 of the family's 1533-position model. The record is from RNAcentral.